UCCGAGAAUUCAAUCGGCGGCUGUAUGUUGACUGACAAGAAUAUAAUUGCUGUUAAUCCGGCCCUGCUUCGUGUACAAAUGCAUAGCGGGGAGACAUGAACAUUUUUCGAAAUCGCGGACCUAUCCUCUUGGGAUUCUACGUUGGACAAAUUCUGAAAACGACCCCAGAAAUAUAAUUGGAGGUUCAAAGCGGUGCGAGGUGACCUUUCAUAUAUGAAACAGACCAGUCAUGGGGACACGAGAUGUGGAAAGUUUAAGCGUAGUCGUCGCCACAUUGCUGCCAACACGGCAUAUAUAAGGAAUCACGAACCAUUCAGGAAUAUUGAGACUUAGACCAGUAUCUUUUGAAGUCGGCAUGUGGGGUAAAGAAGACGCAGAAGCUUCAGUCGGGUACCAUCGGUAACGUAGGCGAUUGAUAUAUUUCCACC
Long non-coding RNA from Cylas formicarius (sweet potato weevil), 428 nucleotides. RefSeq lists it as uncharacterized. The record is from RefSeq and is a predicted model, not a curated record. The transcript is spliced from 3 exons. NCBI's taxonomy places the organism in Eukaryota, Metazoa, Arthropoda, Insecta, Coleoptera, Brentidae.